AGAUACUACUUAUAAAAAAGGUUUAAUUGGAAUGAUACAGAGAAGAUUAGCAUGGCCCCUGCACAAGGAUGAUACACGAAUUCAUGAAGCGUUCCAUAUUUUU
Callithrix jacchus (white-tufted-ear marmoset) is the source of this 103-nucleotide small nuclear RNA. NCBI's taxonomy places the organism in Eukaryota, Metazoa, Chordata, Mammalia, Primates, Cebidae. The record is from Ensembl.